Molecule: ribosomal RNA, 794 nt
Filed under: uncultured prokaryote
Description: bacterial SSU rRNA
Rfam family: Bacterial small subunit ribosomal RNA
Source: RNAcentral
GUAGCGGUGAAAUGCUUAGAUNUCACGAAGAACUCCGAUUGCGAAGGCAGCUUGCUGGACUGUAACUGACGCUGAGGCACGAAAGCGUGGGGAUCAAACAGGAUUAGAUANCCNUGGUAGNNCACGCCGUAAACGAUGAAUGCUAGCUGUUAGCGAUAUACUGUUAGCGGCACAGAGAAAUCGUUAAGCNUUCCACCUGGGGAGUACGCCGGCAACGGUGAAACUCAAAGGAAUUGACGGGGGCCCGCACAAGCGGAGGAACAUGUGGUUUAAUUCGAUGAUACGCGAGGAACCUUACCUGGGCUUAAAUUGCAGUGGAAUAACGUGGAAACAUGUUAGCCUUCGGGCCGCUGUGAAGGUGCUGCAUGGUUGUCGUCAGCUCGUGCCGUGAGGUGUCGGCUUAAGUGCCAUAACGAGCGCAACCCUCAUCGAUAGUUACUAACAGGUUAAGCUGAGGACUCUAUCGAGACUGCCGACGUAAGUCGUGAGGAAGGUGGGGAUGACGUCAAAUCAGCACGGCCCUUACGUCCAGGGCUACACACGUGUUACAAUGGGGGGUACAAAGGGCAGCUACCUGGCGACAGGAUGCUAAUCUCAAAAACCUCUCUCAGUUCGGAUUGGAGUCUGCAACCCGACUCCAUGAAGCUGGAUUCGCUAGUAAUCGCGCAUCAGCCACGGCGCGGUGAAUACGUUCCCGGGCCUUGUACACACCGCCCGUCAAGCCAUGGGAGCCGGGGGGACCUGAAGUAUGCAACCGUAAGGAGCGUCCUAGGGUAAAACUGGUGACUGGGGCU